CCCAUUUCCCGUGCAUAUGCAUCGGACUCGGAUGACGAUGGUCCCGAUGAACAAGUUGAUGCGGAGGGAUUCACGGUGAAGGAGGCCGAAGCUUUCGAGAAGGUAUUCGGUCGGGAUCAUUGGACUACAUUGUUCAAGGAUGUUAGUCUCGCGGAUGAAGCCGUGGUAGAUGGUGGCCAAUUGUAUCUCUUGGGGUUAGGCCAAGCUCUCACCGUGAUUUGGGAGACGACAAGAACCGGAUUGCUAAAGGGUCUAAGUUCGAAACCUUGUUGGAAUUGA
Molecule: ribosomal RNA, 279 nt
Filed under: Triticum aestivum (bread wheat)
Lineage: Eukaryota; Viridiplantae; Streptophyta; Magnoliopsida; Poales; Poaceae
Description: partial small subunit ribosomal RNA
Source: RNAcentral